This 756-nucleotide ribosomal RNA is filed under the name Bacteroides finegoldii. RNAcentral describes it as "partial 23S ribosomal RNA". It matches the Rfam family "Bacterial large subunit ribosomal RNA", at positions 1 to 762 of the family's 2925-position model. The record is from RNAcentral. Lineage: Bacteria; Pseudomonadati; Bacteroidota; Bacteroidia; Bacteroidales; Bacteroidaceae.
GGAUAAGGAAAGUAAAUAAGGGCGCAUGGCGGAUGCCUUGGCUCUCGGAGGCGAUGAAGGACGUGAUAAGCUGCGAUAAGCUUUGGGGAGGUGCAAAUGACCUUUGAUCCAGAGAUUUCCGAAUGGGACAACCCAAUAUCUUGAAGAGGUAUUAUCCAACGUUGUUGGAGGCUAACGCAGGGAACUGAAACAUCUUAGUACCUGCAGGAAAAGAAAAUAAACAAUGAUUCCCCCAGUAGUGGCGAGCGAACGGGGAACAGCCCAAACCAUCCAUGUUACGGCAUGGGUGGGGUUGUAGGACUACGCCGUUGCAUGAAGACAUCAGAGAAGAACUUUCUGGAAAGAAAGACCAUAGAGCAUGACAGUUGCGUAUUCGAAUGUUGUCGAAGCAUAGUAGUAUCCUGAGUAGCGCGGAGCACGAGGAAUUCUGCGUGAAUCUGCCGGGACCAUCCGGUAAGGCUAAAUACUCCCGAGAGACCGAUAGCGAACCAGUACCGUGAGGGAAAGGUGAAAAGCACUUCGAACAGAAGAGUGAAAUAGUUCCUGAAACCGUGCGCCUACAAGCGGUCGGAGCUCGUUAAUGAGUGACGGCGUGCCUUUUGCAUAAUGAACCUACGAGUUGCCUUUGCCGGCAAGGUUAAGUGUGACGACACACGUAUCCGAAGCGAAAGCGAGUCUGAACAGGGCGUAUAGUCGGCAGUGGCAGACGCGAAACCAAGUGAUCUACCCUUGGCCAGGUUGAAGGCUGGGUAACAC